Suricata suricatta (meerkat) is the source of this 418-nucleotide long non-coding RNA. RefSeq lists it as uncharacterized. NCBI's taxonomy places the organism in Eukaryota, Metazoa, Chordata, Mammalia, Carnivora, Herpestidae. The record is from RefSeq and is a predicted model, not a curated record. The transcript has 4 exons.
GCCCAUUCCAGGGGCCGCCCGCCUAAGCCCUCGCGCCUCAGCCGCCCGCAGGAGAUUCCUUGGAAUGAAACCAAUGGGAGAUCAGGGUUUGGGAGAGUCUCAUCAGAGCAGAUGGUCCAGCAGCAGCCAGAAAGCUUGUUGCCUUUGGCUGAGAGCACCAUCCUGGAUCUGAACGUCUUGUGAGCAAACCCCAGCAGGCUCAGCCUUGGGCCAAGUGAAGCUGGCCUGCUUCUCCUUGAAGAGGAACCUAAUCAGAUAUGCCUACUGGAGCACAGAACACUGAAAUUGAUGGAGGUUGUGACCAUUCUACCCCCUGGUCACCAAGAACCAAAAUUCAACCUCAAAAGAAGCCCACAGGGGCACCUGGGCGGUUCAGUCAGUGAAGCAUCUGACUCUUGAUUUCAGCUCACAUCACCUU